AUGGAUGUAAACCUCAAUAUUAUGUUUUGGAAUGUCCGCGGACUCAAUAGUCGGGCCAAACGUUCUGCUGUUCGCACUGUGAUCACCUCUGCGUCACCUUCCAUAGUGUGUUUACAAGAGACCAAGCUCUCGAUGGUUUCGUCGACUCUCAUCCUCGAGACUCUUGGUGGCUCUUUUGAUGGAUUCUACUUCCUCCCGGCGACUGCUACCCGGGGUGACAUCAUUCUUGCCUGGCAAAGUUGCCAAAUCUCCCUCUCCAACCCUAUGAUUGGUGACCACCAUGUGUCCGCGGUUGCUUCUUCGUCCUUGGGCGGGCAUCAUUGGUGGGUGACUGGCGUAUACGGCCCCCAGGGAGACGACGCGAAGCUGGUUUUCCUCUCUGAGCUCCACGACCUCCACUCAAGCAUCUCUGGCCCCUAG
RNAcentral lists this ribosomal RNA (420 nucleotides) under Triticum aestivum (bread wheat). RNAcentral describes it as "partial small subunit ribosomal RNA". Lineage: Eukaryota; Viridiplantae; Streptophyta; Magnoliopsida; Poales; Poaceae. The record is from RNAcentral.